UGUGUAUGAUGAUACCUUGGUACUACUGUAAUCUGCCGAGUGCUUGAUGCUCAGCUUGAAGAGCUGAGCUUGCU
Molecule: non-coding RNA, 74 nt
Organism: Myotis lucifugus (little brown bat)
Lineage: Eukaryota; Metazoa; Chordata; Mammalia; Chiroptera; Vespertilionidae
Source: Rfam